Rhincodon typus (whale shark) is the source of this 373-nucleotide long non-coding RNA. RefSeq lists it as uncharacterized. The record is from RefSeq and is a predicted model, not a curated record. The transcript is spliced from 3 exons. NCBI's taxonomy places the organism in Eukaryota, Metazoa, Chordata, Chondrichthyes, Orectolobiformes, Rhincodontidae.
CCCUGAAUCCAAGCCACAAAGAUUUGAGAGAAAUACCAGUGUUUCAAGAUUGACCUUGGUAAACCAUUUAAAAGACAUUUUAGGAAAUCUACAGAUGUUGAUGAUAUUUUUGAUAAAAAUUGGUCAGACAUGUUAUGUCACACCUCCAGGACAGAUGAGACCUGAACCUGGAUCUUCCAGUCCAGAGACAGUAGGAACGUAUUACCAAAACUAAGAAGCUGCUAAAGCUUUGUAAAACAUUGGUAAGGCCAUAACCAGAAUAUUAUGUUCAAUCCUGGACACCAUACUUCGGGAAGGUUAUCAAAGCCUAAGGAAGGAUACAGUUACAGUGGAAAGGACUUCAACUAUUUGGAGACCACAGUAACUCGUUAAA